RNAcentral lists this unclassified non-coding RNA (376 nucleotides) under soil metagenome. RNAcentral's name for it is "partial contains 5.8S ribosomal RNA, internal transcribed spacer 2, and large subunit ribosomal RNA". The stretch from base 1 to 120 matches the Rfam family "5.8S ribosomal RNA", at positions 35 to 154 of the family's 154-position model. The record is from RNAcentral.
GAUGAAGAACGUAGCGAAAUGCGAUAAGUAAUGUGAAUUGCAGAAUUCAGUGAAUCAUCGAAUCUUUGAACGCAUCUUGCGCUCCUUGGUAUUCUGAGGAGCAUGCCUGUUUGAGUGUCAUUAAAUUCUCAACCGCACUGACUUUGAAUUGGUGUGGCUUGGAUUUGGGGGGAAAAUUGUUGUGGGCUUUUUUGUAUAGUCUGCUCCCCUGAAAUUGAUUAGCGGUACCUUUGUGGAACUGUCUACAGGUGUGAUAAUUAUCUACAUCCUAGACAUCUGCUGGAAUGCUGCUUUCUAAACCUUACUUGUAUUGACAAUCUUGACCUCAAAUCAGGUAGGACUACCCGCUGAACUUAAGCAUAUCAAUAGCGGAGGA